UAAGAGUGUUUGCCUAUAAGGAUAUUCACUACAAACUUGUACCAAACCUACCACCUAUCUAUCUGAUCUGACUUAAUAAUAACAGUACCAAACAAAACACCUCCUUCCUUUCCCAAUUAAGCAUUUUACAUAUCAACCCCAUCCAUCUGCAGCCACCACACAACCAACCCCCCAUCUUCAUUGCAGAGGCAGGUCACUUAAGCACGUUCACCCCUGAUCCUCCUAGCCAGCUGGAUAUCCUUCGGCAUGAUGGUAACACGCUUGGCAUGGAUGGCACAAAGGUUGGUGUCCUCAAACAGACCCACAAGGUAAGCCUCAGCUGCCUCCUGCAGUGCGAGCACCGCAUGGCUCUGGAAACGC
This 360-nucleotide long non-coding RNA is filed under the name Prunus persica (peach). Its description in RNAcentral is "long non-coding RNA (PPER_LNC006455)". The record is from RNAcentral. Lineage: Eukaryota; Viridiplantae; Streptophyta; Magnoliopsida; Rosales; Rosaceae.